GAUGAACGCUGGCGGCGUGCCUAAUACAUGCAAGUCGAGCGAACGGACGAGAAGCUUGCGUCUCUGAUGUUAGCGGCGGACGGGUGAGUAACACGUGGAUAACCUACCUAUAAGACUGGGAUAACUUCGGGAAACCGGAGCUAAUACCGGAUAAUAUUUUGAACCGCAUGGUUCAAAAGUGAAAGACGGUCUUGCUGUCACUUAUAGAUGGAUCCCCGCUGCAUUAGCUAGUUGGUAAGGUAACGGCUUACCAAGGCAACGAUGCAUAGCCGACCGGAGAGGGUGAUCGGCCACACUGGAACUGAGACACGGUCCAGACUCCUAAGGGAGGCAGCAGUAGGGAAUCUUCCGCAAUGGGCGAAAGCCUGACGGAGCAACGCCGCGUGAGUGAUGAAGGUCUUCGGAUCGUAAAACUCUGUUAUUAGGGAAGAACAUAUGUGUAAGUAAAUGUGCACAUCUUGACGGUACCUAAUCAGAAAGCCACGGCUAACUACGUG
This 497-nucleotide ribosomal RNA is filed under the name uncultured bacterium. RNAcentral describes it as "partial 16S ribosomal RNA". It matches the Rfam family "Bacterial small subunit ribosomal RNA", at positions 28 to 507 of the family's 1533-position model. The record is from RNAcentral.